Molecule: long non-coding RNA, 200 nt
Organism: Cydia strobilella
Lineage: Eukaryota; Metazoa; Arthropoda; Insecta; Lepidoptera; Tortricidae
Exons: 3
Source: RefSeq, a predicted model, not a curated record
AAACUAAAGAAAAACUUUUGUUUAACCCUUUCAGCGCCAAGAACCCCUAAAGGUGUCGUCACUAGUUGUGCCCACAGCGCCAAGGACAACUAUAGGUGUUAUGGCGGACGCUGUCAAACUAACCUUCACACUUUCAAGUAAGGUUUACAUUAGCUCCCUUCCACCCGGGAGCUUAGUCUGUAAUGUUUGUGUUUAUGACA